GAUGAAGAACGUAGCGAAAUGCGAUAAGUAGUGUGAAUUGCAGAAUUCCGUGAAUCAUUGAAUCUUUGAACGCACAUUGCGCCUCCUGGUAAUCCGUGAGGCAUGCCUGUCCGAGCGUCAGUAAAAAGCAACUCGGCCGCGGCUGGCGGUUGGUGAUGGAGGAAGAGCACGUCUCGUUAUCGGUCUCCCCUCCCAAAAUCAACGGCGGAAUGUCACUGGCACUCGGUGUUGUAGUAUUAUUCGCCGAUCACCCAUUGUUGUUCCUGCCGCCCAAACCCCCACAAUUCUCUUGAUUGACCUCGGAUCAGGUAGGGAUACCCGCUGAACUUAAGCAUAUCAAUAAGCGGAGGA
This 351-nucleotide unclassified non-coding RNA is filed under the name soil metagenome. Its description in RNAcentral is "partial contains 5.8S ribosomal RNA, internal transcribed spacer 2, and large subunit ribosomal RNA". The stretch from base 1 to 120 matches the Rfam family "5.8S ribosomal RNA", at positions 35 to 154 of the family's 154-position model. The record is from RNAcentral.